GACGAACGCUGGCGGCGUGCCUAAUACAUGCAAGUAGAACGCUGAAGGAGGAGCUUACUUCUCUGGAUGAGUUGCGAACGGGUGAGUAACGCGUAGGUAACCUGCCUGGUAGCGGGGGAUAACUAUUGGAAACGAUAGCUAAUACCGCAUAAGAGUAGAUGUUGCAUGACAUUUACCUAAAAGGUGCAAUUGCACCACUACCAGAUGGACCUGCGUUGUAUUAGCUAGUUGGUGGGGUAACGGCUCACCAAGGCGACGAUACAUAGCCGACCUGAGAGGGUGAUCGGCCACACUGGGACUGAGACACGGCCCAGACUCCGACGGGAGGCAGCAGUAGGGAAUCUUCGGCAAUGGACGGAAGUCUGACCGAGCAACGCCGCGUGAGUGAGGAAGGUUUUCGGAUCGUAAAGCUCUGUUGUAAGAGAAGAACGAGUGUGAGAGUGGAAAGUUCACACUGUGACGGUAUCUUACCAGAAAGGGACGGCUAACUACGUGCCAGCCGCCGCAGUAA
This 511-nucleotide ribosomal RNA is filed under the name uncultured bacterium. RNAcentral describes it as "partial 16S ribosomal RNA". It matches the Rfam family "Bacterial small subunit ribosomal RNA", at positions 28 to 523 of the family's 1533-position model. The record is from RNAcentral.